Molecule: ribosomal RNA, 554 nt
Filed under: uncultured bacterium
Lineage: Bacteria
Description: partial 16S ribosomal RNA
Rfam family: Bacterial small subunit ribosomal RNA
Source: RNAcentral
UAGGGAAUCUUCCACAAUGGACGCAAGUCUGAUGGAGCAACGCCGCGUGAGUGAAGAAGGUUUUCGGAUCGUAAAGCUCUGUUGUUGGUGAAGAAGGAUAGAGGUAGUAACUGGCCUUUAUUUGACGGUAAUCAACCAGAAAGUCACGGCUAACUACGUGCCAGCAGCCGCGGUAAUACGUAGGUGGCAAGCGUUGUCCGGAUUUAUUGGGCGUAAAGCGAGCGCAGGCGGAAGAAUAAGUCUGAUGUGAAAGCCCUCGGCUUAACCGAGGAAUUGCAUCGGAAACUGUUUUUCUUGAGUGCAGAAGAGGAGAGUGGAACUCCAUGUGUAGCGGUGGAAUGCGUAGAUAUAUGGAAGAACACCAGUGGCGAAGGCGGCUCUCUGGUCUGCAACUGACGCUGAGGCUCGAAAGCAUGGGUAGCGAACAGGAUUAGAUACCCUGGUAGUCCAUGCCGUAAACGAUGAGUGCUAAGUGUUGGGAGGUUUCCGCCUCUCAGUGCUGCAGCUAACGCAUUAAGCACUCCGCCUGGGGAGUACGACCGCAAGGUUGAAAC